AUAGAUACCCGGGUAGUCCAUGCCGUAAACGUUGGGCACUAGGUGUGGGGGGACAUUCCACGUUUUCCGCGCCGUAGCUAACGCAUUAAGUGCCCCGCCUGGGGAGUACGGCCGCAAGGCUAAAACUCAAAGGAAUUGACUGGGGGCCCGCACAAGCGGCGGAGCAUGCGGAUUAAUUCGAUGCAACGCGAAGAACCUUACCAAGGCUUGACAUGAACCGGAAACGCCUGGAAACAGGUGCCCCACUUGUGGUCGGUUUACAGGUGGUGCAUGGAUGUCGUCAGCUCGUGUCGUGAGAUGUUGGGUUAAGUCCCGCAACGAGCGCAACCCUCGUUCUAUGUUGCCAGCACGUGAUGGUGGGGACUCAUAGGAGACUGCCGGGGUCAACUCGGAGGAAGGUGGGGACGACGUCAAAUCAUCAUGCCCCUUAUGUCUUGGGCUUCACGCAUGCUACAAUGGCCGGUACAAAGGGUUGCGAUACUGUGAGGUGGAGCUAAUCCCAAAAAGCCGGUCUCAGUUCGGAUUGGGGUCUGCAACUCGACCCC
This 545-nucleotide ribosomal RNA is filed under the name uncultured bacterium. RNAcentral describes it as "bacterial SSU rRNA". It matches the Rfam family "Bacterial small subunit ribosomal RNA", at positions 778 to 1319 of the family's 1533-position model. The record is from RNAcentral.